Long non-coding RNA from Limulus polyphemus (Atlantic horseshoe crab), 307 nucleotides. RefSeq lists it as uncharacterized. NCBI's taxonomy places the organism in Eukaryota, Metazoa, Arthropoda, Merostomata, Xiphosura, Limulidae. The transcript has 3 exons. The record is from RefSeq and is a predicted model, not a curated record.
AGGUAGUGAGAACCAUCUGAGACCAUUACAGGUACUAAGCACCAUCUUAAACCAGUAAAGGUAUUGAGAACCAUCUGAGACCAUUACAGGUACUAAGCACCAUCUUAAACCAGUAAAGGUACUAAGCACCAUCUUAAACCAGUAAAGGUCUUAAGAACCAUCUGAGGUCAGCACAGGUACUAAGCACCAUCUUAAACUAGUAAAGGUAUUGAGAACCAUCUGGGACCAUUACAGGUACUAAGCACCAUCUUAAACCAGUAAAGGUAUUGAGAACCAUCUGAGACCAUUACAAGUACUAAGCACCAUC